RNAcentral lists this unclassified non-coding RNA (597 nucleotides) under Yarrowia lipolytica. The record is from RNAcentral. Lineage: Eukaryota; Fungi; Ascomycota; Dipodascomycetes; Dipodascales.
GACAGCAUGGCAUGAGAGAUGUAGACACAGCAUGGACAACACUGAGUGGGUCCCAAGAGAGACGCGAGGCGCAACUACACACAAAGAUACGACAAGGAUACGGCGUCUAUAAGACGUACAAGACGUAUCGUAACACACUUGUCCAUUACGACAAGGUCUAAUCCGACACAACUACUUGCCGUGGCUUUUGCCGGGUCUCCAAAGUCCCCCAAAGUUACUCCACCAACCACUUGUCCGUCUCUUUCGUCAUAUUGGAAAGUGCCUCGCCUCAUGUAUCGCUGCAACUACUUGUCCACUCAAAGUGAGCGCCAAACACCGGUGCAAGUAUGUGCUUACAGGUCCACGGAACUCACCAAAGCACCAAACCUGGACUGCUCGCGGACUUGUAGCCUAGCGGCGACUCAAUUUCUAUCAUAAUGGCCUCGCUAUGGUCGACGACAUGUCUCACCUACCAUCGCCCAUCCGUCUAUCGUUCCCCGCACUCUUUGUAUCGUCUAGACUUUGUCCUUGUCCUGGGGCUGGAAAAGCCCACCCAUACACAGCUAACCUCCUUCGCUAAGAUGGUUCUUAUAGCUUAAUUGAGUCGAGAGAUCAAAG